This 2919-nucleotide ribosomal RNA is filed under the name Lentilactobacillus parabuchneri. RNAcentral describes it as "23S ribosomal RNA". It matches the Rfam family "Bacterial large subunit ribosomal RNA". The record is from RNAcentral. Lineage: Bacteria; Bacillati; Bacillota; Bacilli; Lactobacillales; Lactobacillaceae.
GGUUAAGUUAAAAAGGGCGCAUGGUGAAUGCCUUGGCACUAGAAGCCGAUGAAGGACGGGACUAACACCGAUAUGCUUCGGGGAGCUGUACGUAAGCUUUGAUCCGGAGAUUUCCGAAUGGGGAAACCCAGCAGCUUUAAUCAGCUGUUACUAUAUAGUGAAUUCAUAGCUAUAUAGAGGUAGACGUGGGGAACUGAAACAUCUCAGUACCCACAGGAGCAGAAAGAAAUUUCGAUUCCCUAAGUAGCGGCGAGCGAACGGGGAACAGCCCAAACCAACGAGCUUGCUCGUUGGGGUUGUAGGACUGAACAUUUGAGUUACCAAAGUUGUUGAUAAUCGAACAAUCUGGGAAGGUUGGCGAAACAGGGUGAUAGCCCCGUAGGUGAAAUCAAUGACCCUCAGUUCAGGAUCCUGAGUACGGCGACACACGUGAAACGUCGUCGGAAUCCGGGAGGACCAUCUCCCAAGGCUAAAUACUCUCUAGUGACCGAUAGUGAACCAGUACCGUGAGGGAAAGGUGAAAAGCACCCCGGAAGGGGAGUGAAAUAGUUCCUGAAACCAUGUGCCUACAAGCAGUUAGAGCCCGUUAAUGGGUGAUAGCGUGCCUCUUGUAGAAUGAACCGGCGAGUUACGGUAACAUGCAAGGUUAAGGUUUAAAAGCCGGAGCCGCAGCGAAAGCGAGUCUGAAAUGGGCGUUUGAGUAUGUUGCUGUAGACCCGAAACCAGGUGAUCUACCCAUGUCCAGGCUGAAGGUGCGGUAAAACGCACUGGAGGGCCGAACCCGUGUACGUUGAAAAGUGCUGGGAUGAGGUGUGGGUAGCGGUGAAAUUCCAAACGAACUUGGAGAUAGCUGGUUCUCUCCGAAAUAGCUUUAGGGCUAGCCUCGGACGUAGAAUCAUGGAGGUAGAGCCACUGUUUGGAUGAGGGGCCCGUCAUGGGUUACUAAGUUCAGAUAAACUCCGAAUACCAUUGAUUUUUAUCCGGGAGUCAGACGGUGAGUGAUAAGAUCCAUCGUCAAAAGGGGAACAGCCCAGACCACCAGUUAAGGUCCCUAAAUAUAUGCUAAGUGGAAAAGGAUGUGGAGUUGCAUAGACAACUAGGAUGUUGGCUCAGAAGCAGCCAUCAUUUAAAGAGUGCGUAAUAGCUCACUAGUCGAGUGAUUCCGCGCCGAAAAUUUACCGGGGCUAAGCAUAUUACCGAGACUGUGGACUUGACCUUUGGUCAAGUGAUAGGAGAGCGUUCUAAGGGCAAUGAAGCCAGACCGUAAGGACUGGUGGAGCGCUUAGAAGUGAGAAUGCCGGUAUGAGUAGCGAAAGAUCAGUGAGAAUCUGAUCCACCGAAUGACUAAGGUUUCCUGGGGAAGGCUCGUCCUCCCAGGGUUAGUCGGGACCUAAGCCGAGGCCGAAAGGCGUAGGCGAUGGAUAACAGGUUGAGAUUCCUGUACUAGUUGAUGAUGUUUGAGCGAUGGAGGGACGCAGGAGGCUAAGUUGUGCAUCCAGUUGGAAAGGGAUGUUCAAGCCACGAGUCAGUCAAGGAGUUAAAUGCUUUUUGGCGGGUUGACAAGUGGUGAUGAGGACCGAAAUUUAGUAGGGAAGCAACUGACGUCACACUGCCGAGAAAAGCUUCUAGUGAGUCAUCAACUACCCGUACCGCAAACCGACACAGGUAGUCGAGGAGAGAAUCCUCAGGUGAGCGAGAGAACUCUCGUUAAGGAACUCGGCAAAAUGACCCCGUAACUUCGGGAGAAGGGGUGCUGAGCGUAAGCUCAGCCGCAGUGAAAAGGCCCAGGCGACUGUUUAUCAAAAACACAGGUUUCUGCAAAAUCGUAAGAUGACGUAUAGGGGCUGACGCCUGCCCGGUGCUGGAAGGUUAAGAGGAUGGGUUAGCUUCGGCGAAGCUCAGAAUUGAAGCCCCAGUAAACGGCGGCCGUAACUAUAACGGUCCUAAGGUAGCGAAAUUCCUUGUCGGGUAAGUUCCGACCCGCACGAAAGGCGUAACGAUCUGGGCACUGUCUCGACGAGAGACUCGGUGAAAUUAUAAUACCCGUGAAGAUGCGGGUUACCCGCGACAGGACGGAAAGACCCCAUGGAGCUUUACUGUAGCUUGAUAUUGGGUGUUUGUACAACUUGUACAGGAUAGGUAGGAGCCAUAGAAGCCGGAACGCUAGUUUCGGCAGAGGCAUUGGUGGGAUACUACCCUCGUUGUAUGAACACUCUAACCCUCGCCAAUAAACUUGGCGGGAGACAGUGUCAGGUGGGCAGUUUGACUGGGGCGGUCGCCUCCUAAAAGGUAACGGAGGCGCCCAAAGGUUCCCUCAGAAUGGUUGGAAAUCAUUCGCAGAGUGUAAAGGCACAAGGGAGCUUGACUGCGAGACAGACAAGUCGAGCAGGGACGAAAGUCGGGCUUAGUGAUCCGGUGGUUCCGAAUGGAAGGGCCAUCGCUCAACGGAUAAAAGCUACCCUGGGGAUAACAGGCUUAUCUCCCCCAAGAGUCCACAUCGACGGGGAGGUUUGGCACCUCGAUGUCGGCUCAUCGCAUCCUGGGGCUGUAGUCGGUCCCAAGGGUUGGGCUGUUCGCCCAUUAAAGCGGUACGCGAGCUGGGUUCAGAACGUCGUGAGACAGUUCGGUCCCUAUCCGUCGCGGGCGUAGGAAAUUUGAGAGGAGCUGUCCUUAGUACGAGAGGACCGGGAUGGACAUACCGCUGGUGUACCAGUUGCGCCGCCAGGCGCACCGCUGGGUAGCUACGUAUGGAUGAGAUAAACGCUGAAAGCAUCUAAGUGUGAAACUCACCUCAAGAUGAGAUUUCCCAUUCCUAUAUGGAAGUAAGACCCCUGAGAGAUGAUCAGGUAGAUAGGUUGGAAGUGGAAGUGCAGUGAUGUACGGAGCGGACCAAUACUAAUCGGUCGAGGACUUAACCAA